Long non-coding RNA from Etheostoma cragini (Arkansas darter), 492 nucleotides. RefSeq lists it as uncharacterized. The record is from RefSeq and is a predicted model, not a curated record. The transcript is spliced from 3 exons. NCBI's taxonomy places the organism in Eukaryota, Metazoa, Chordata, Actinopteri, Perciformes, Percidae.
AUUCACGAUUAUUCAGAAUACAUACGAGCAAAUUGUUUGUAUGUAUUCUGCAAUGAUGCGCCUCCAUCUUUAAAUUACACUAGCCAAAGAGGGUCUUACUUCCGCAUUUCGCGCUUUUACAUUGUGAUGAAUGCCAGGGGGAGAUUACUCGAUCUGCUGGCAGAUUUAAAAGUCUGUUGGAGAUGGAGGAUCACGCUUAUACUUUACUAACAUUAGCUUGCAUUCGUUGGGGAACCUGAUAGGUUAUGUUAGCAAUUAAAUGGUACCAAAAUAACAAAAAAGUAAAACUAUUAUUACACUGGAAGGAACACUCACGGAUAAAGUCAAACUCCUUGGAAUAACACGACCACCGUAGAAUUUAAAAUGUGAUCAGAAUGGAAGGGCUAGAAAGUAAUAUUCAGCUGGUUGUCAUAUACAAUUUCACUGUUAGAUGGGAGAACUUCUUACACAAUGUAGCUUUAAAGUAUAAAAAAUACACUGUUUAAAAUACAA